CCCGUCACACCAUGGAAGUGUAUUGCACCAGAAGCAGGUAGCCUGACCGCAAGGAGGGCGCCUACCACGGUGUGAUCCAUGACUGGGGUG
Molecule: ribosomal RNA, 90 nt
Filed under: uncultured bacterium
Lineage: Bacteria
Description: partial 16S ribosomal RNA
Rfam family: Bacterial small subunit ribosomal RNA
Source: RNAcentral